GGGGCUCCCAGGCCCGUCUGUCCCUGCGUACUUGUUGCAUAAAAGCAUGUGUCUGGAGGAAUAGGACCUGAAGUUCACUUCCUGGGAAACACCAGCAAGCAUCACAUCUGAUCUGAUGGACAGGACUGGGAAACUGGAUUCUUCUGUGAUUUUCUCAAUGUAACUGAGGAGGGUGCCACACAAUAUGCCCAGAGCCCACACAGCAGUGAAAGCAUCACAGAAGGAGUCAAGAGUCCCUGAGUUUCAGACAGAGGAGUGCUUACCCAGCCUUCGUUGGACUUUGUGGGAGUGAAAAAAGAAACCUGUGUUUUGCUAUACCGUUGAUAUUUGAGGCUGUUUAUGUCAGUGACUAGAAUUAAUUACUUGUACCAAUGCCAGAGUAGUUGGAUUAAUGUGCAUGCCACGUUCUCUACGUUCUACCACAGUUAAUGCAUCAGUUUUUGAAAAUAAUCGCUGUGAAACUAUUGCCUUCACAGUUGCCAAAGC
Molecule: long non-coding RNA, 486 nt
Filed under: Fukomys damarensis (Damara mole-rat)
Lineage: Eukaryota; Metazoa; Chordata; Mammalia; Rodentia; Bathyergidae
Description: lncRNA (ENSFDAG00000021826.1)
Source: RNAcentral